CCCAUCCCUCCCUGUGAAAUUUAUGGCAGUUUUGGGUCCCUCUGGGAGACGACAUCCAGCAUGUCAUGCUGGACUGUUCUAGAGAGUAAUUUUCAAAUGUAAGCUUAGCAAAGUUUGAAUUGACUUGAACAGAGAUAAAAACUACAAGUGAACACCUACACCUGCCUACAAAGAGCUAACAAGCCCCUGGCAGCUGCCAGCAUCAAAGCACAGCGGAUGUCUCUAAUACAGGUCUCUGUAUCUUCUUGGACAGCACCGAGCCCGACGACAAGGAUACGAGAGUCUUUCCCUGCCGGACGGAGAGAACCAGGAAAAAAGUUAAAAUAAGAACAGGGCAGUUUGAAAUUCAUACUUGCAACGAGAGGCAGCGCCUAACCAACAGAACAAAAGUAAACAAAGCAUGAUACCUCCCUGGGGACAGAAGACUUACAAACUCUCCAGGAUUUACAAUUCUAGCGACCAACCCCUUCAGGACAGCAGCCAAGUGUCCCCUGGGGUGGUGCUGCACCAAAGAACCAUCUGAGAGGUUCCAAAGAGUGAAAUGCACAAUAUUUUGCAAAGACAAAAAAUCCUGCAAAAUAACAAAAAUACAAUAGAUGUAAACUACAGGGCAAGAGUACAAGUGUUACCUUUGGCAGCUGGAACCAUCCAGGUGAGCACCUGAUAACUGGAUCCUCACCAGAGUUUGAACCCUUCAGGACACAGAAGGGUUUUCCCCAGAAAUUUCACAGACUGAGUUUUGACAGAAGCACGCUCGCCGGAUCCUCAGAAACGUCGCCCAUUCUCCAGGCGUCUGGAGAGAACUGCAAAUGGCUCUCACGUAGUUGGAGCUGGUUCUAUAAGGUCUCAGGGUGAAUUUCACCAGAUGCAACUGAAUUGGGCAACUCCCAGUGAGACAGAAGGAACCCAAAGCUUGUUUUACCCAAACCUUGGGUAAGCACAGCUCCAGCAAAUACUGAGGAAACAGACAUAACAGGGUAAAAAUAAUAAAACUAUUGCUUUUUCUUUAAUCUUGCCUUUUUUUUUUUUAUUCAGAUGAGCAAAACAAUGAAGGAGAAGGUGAAAAACUCACCAUUACUGAACAUUUCAUCAUCUGUAAGCUGAGCAUCCUUAGCAUAGAGGACUCCAGAGUUAAAAUUCACUGAUCCCUGGGAAAUAAAACCAAAUAUAUGACAAACAGUCAAACAGAAGGCUUAAAAAUUUGUUUCCUCUACGGACUUUCAAGUAUGUAUCUUUGUAUAUAUCCUACACAUUACAACAUACACUUUAUACCAUCUCCUAAUAUAUAAUAAUUUACCUUUAAACUUUGAUAGUAUAGUGUGGAGAAAUGGCUCCAUGACAGAGGUCACGCAGACAUUCGCUCGUUAGCCGACCAGGAGCUGGGAAAGUACCGAACAUAGGUAUUUUUGAGUUUUGCACCUGCAAGAUAGCGUGUGCCUGGGCCUAGCUGGGUAGGAUAACAAGUAGACAGAGAGACGUGGGAAAUAGGGAAUGUAGGCCCAAAGGAAUGAGGAAGAGUUGAUGGUAUAGUUUAACCAAUAGAUCGCUUGGCUUACAGAAUAUUCAUAAGCUUAUUAUGUGCUAUAUAAGUGUCUGAUACUCUCUGCAAUAAACAUAGCUUGCUGAUCUCA
Melospiza georgiana is the source of this 1631-nucleotide long non-coding RNA. RefSeq lists it as uncharacterized. Lineage: Eukaryota; Metazoa; Chordata; Aves; Passeriformes; Passerellidae. The record is from RefSeq and is a predicted model, not a curated record. The transcript is spliced from 2 exons.